RNAcentral lists this long non-coding RNA (771 nucleotides) under Erythranthe guttata (spotted monkey flower). RNAcentral's name for it is "long non-coding RNA (EGUT_LNC002755)". The record is from RNAcentral. Lineage: Eukaryota; Viridiplantae; Streptophyta; Magnoliopsida; Lamiales; Phrymaceae.
GGUGAUUCUUAACUGAUGAUCUACACACACCAACAUGGGUAUGUGUGUUUUUGUGUGUAUAUGAAUGUUAAAGAUCUAUCCGGUGUAGCAUAAUAUAAACCCAAUUGUUACAUGUUUUUUAGGUUUUGAAUUACUUAAUGAGUGUGUUCAUAACCGACAACACUAAGGCCUCGUUUGGUUAGCGCAUCUCCAACCAUUGUUGACACAAUGGAAAGGUAAAAUAUAGCUUUUUUCUAACUAAUAAGCUUAAGUUAUUAGUGAAAUAUGUUAUUUAAUAUUAAUACCUCCAAUAAUAGUAAGGUGGUUCGAUUAAUUAACUAACUACUAUAAUUUGAUGUUUCGUUCCAACCAACAAUUACGAAAAAAAAUGAUCUAUGUUCUUGAUUUAGAACCAAACGAGGCCUUAGAGCGUUUUAAGUGAUGUUUGAGGACUUACCUAGGCCAAGAGGGUCGAAUCCGAAAUCUCCGGGGAGGCUGCAAAAUUGAGUGAUUACGAAGAUUAGACGCAUUUCGAAGCAUUUUUUGAUAAACUAUUUAAAGUAAAAAAAAUUUAAAAAAAAAAAAUUUGUUGGUAUGUAUUGAAAUUACCUGCCGUCGAGCCAUUCGGGAGGGGUGCUACCGGGGAACCAGAUAGGUCUAUCUGGAUCGGCCGCAACGCACACGGCAACCGAUCUUGUGUUGGAAGGUGCUGCAAACUUACUCACUCUCAAUUUUCUUCCUCCAAAGAAAGAAGCCUUUGUUGCUCCCACAAUCGCUCCAUUCUUUUGUGAA